Molecule: ribosomal RNA, 514 nt
Filed under: uncultured bacterium
Lineage: Bacteria
Description: partial 16S ribosomal RNA
Rfam family: Bacterial small subunit ribosomal RNA
Source: RNAcentral
GACGAACGCUGGCGGCGUGCCUAAUACAUGCAAGUCGAGCGGAUGAAAGAGGAGCUUGCUCCUCUAGAUUCAGCGGCGGACGGGUGAGUAACACGUGGGCAACCUGCCCUGUAGAUUGGGAUAACUCCGGGAAACCGGGGCUAAUACCGAAUAAUCCUUCGGACCUCAUGGUCCGAUGUCGAAAGAUGGUUUCGGCUGUCACUACAGGAUGGGCCCGCGGCGCAUUAGCUAGUUGGUGAGGUAACGGCUCACCAAGGCCACGAUGCGUAGCCGACCUGAGAGGGUGAUCGGCCACCCGGGGACUGAGACACGGCCCAGACUCCUACGGGAGGCAGCAGUAGGGAAUCUUCCACAAUGGACGAAAGUCUGAUGGAGCAACGCCGCGUGAGUGAAGAAGGUUCUCGGACCGUAAAACUCUGUUGUGAGGGAAGAACAAGUACCGGAGUAACUGCCGGUGCCUUGACGGUACCUCAUUAGAAAGCCACGGCUAACUACGUGCCAGCAGCCGCCGUAA